This 246-nucleotide long non-coding RNA is filed under the name Ananas comosus (pineapple). Its description in RNAcentral is "long non-coding RNA (ACOM_LNC035361)". Lineage: Eukaryota; Viridiplantae; Streptophyta; Magnoliopsida; Poales; Bromeliaceae. The record is from RNAcentral.
UCUAAGAUCUGAGUCAAAACUCUCGCUUUGGAGACCACAGUCUCCUACCAGUAACUACACAAACUGCCAAACCUCAUCAACGAAAAGUCACCUGCGGCAAUCUAUAGUCCUAGGUCCAAGACCUCACUUUACAUCUGCCUAAAAGAUCCAACUGACAAUACCAAUUGAGCUAGACAAUUUUGUCCCCUCAAACUUAAUCCGGUACCAACAGACCACCAAAUGCUCUUUGCAAGUCCAUCACUUGAU